Molecule: antisense RNA, 69 nt
Filed under: Allokutzneria albata
Lineage: Bacteria; Bacillati; Actinomycetota; Actinomycetes; Pseudonocardiales; Pseudonocardiaceae
Description: Kibdelosporangium albatum ASpks TB sRNA
Rfam family: ASpks TB sRNA
Source: Rfam by way of RNAcentral
CUUCACCGAGCCGAGCAGAACGGGCUGGUCGCGGUCCUGGCCGUAGGUCGCGAGGAUCGCCUGGGCCUC